GAUCAUGGCUCAGGAUGAACGCUGGCGGCGUGCUUAACACAUGCAAGUCGAACGGAGUUUACAUGAAACCUAGUGAUUGUAAACUUAGUGGCGGACGGGUGAGUAACGCGUGGGUAACCUGCCUUGUACUGGGGGACAACAGUUGGAAACGACUGCUAAUACCGCAUAAGCGCACAGCUUCGCAUGAAGCAGUGUGAAAAACUGGNGGUGUACAGAUCGGACCCGCGUCUGAUAGCUUAGG
Molecule: ribosomal RNA, 241 nt
Filed under: uncultured bacterium
Lineage: Bacteria
Description: partial 16S ribosomal RNA
Rfam family: Bacterial small subunit ribosomal RNA
Source: RNAcentral